GAAUGUUACUUCCAUAUGUGGAUAGUGGCCAGAUCAUUAUAUGUUCACAAUUUCAAUGGACAAUAAGGAGAAUAAGAAGCUUACAAAAUAUAUACAUCUACCCCACAGAGCUCAUUCCUGGAGUAACUGAGUAAUCAGAAAUAUCAGGAAGAGUCAUAUUCGGACCUAAAAAGAAGUAUUUCAUUGAAGUUGGAGAUCUUGGACUUGGGAU
Molecule: long non-coding RNA, 211 nt
Organism: Lemur catta (Ring-tailed lemur)
Lineage: Eukaryota; Metazoa; Chordata; Mammalia; Primates; Lemuridae
Exons: 3
Source: RefSeq, a predicted model, not a curated record